Hibiscus syriacus is the source of this 355-nucleotide long non-coding RNA. RefSeq lists it as uncharacterized. The transcript has 2 exons. NCBI's taxonomy places the organism in Eukaryota, Viridiplantae, Streptophyta, Magnoliopsida, Malvales, Malvaceae. The record is from RefSeq and is a predicted model, not a curated record.
UUGUUUUAAAUGUUACAAUAUGAGAGGAGAGAGAGAGCAAAGUUCUCUCAAAGCUUCCCCGUCGGGGAAGAAAGAAAUAAAAACGCCACCGGCGUUAGCCAUGGCGGUUCACGGCGGUAACCGCAAUGGCGCACGACGACCGGGGUAAACUCAAACACCAAAAUAUUCCUCUCUUCACUCUCAACCUAGAUCCUCAACUAGAUCGGCCUAAAAAUAACCUUAACUCACUAGAUCUGAUAUUUUACCUUUCGAAUCAACAAAUAUCCGGUGACGAUUUGAACUUCCCGAUGGUCCUCCGAUCAAGGUGCUCGAUGAAGGAUUAAUUCAAGUGAUGAAUCGUGGAAGCUUGCAAUUG